GUGGGGAAUAUUGGACAAUGGGGGGAACCCUGAUCCAGCCAUGCCGCGUGUGUGAAGAAGGCCUUUUGGUUGUAAAGCACUUUAAGCGAGGAGGAGGCUACCGAGAUUAAUACUCUUGGAUAGUGGACGUUACUCGCAGAAUAAGCACCGGCUAACUCUGUGCCAGCAGCCGCGGUAAUACAGAGGGUGCAAGCGUUAAUCGGAUUUACUGGGCGUAAAGCGCGCGUAGGUGGCCAAUUAAGUCAAAUGUGAAAUCCCCGAGCUUAACUUGGGAAUUGCAUUCGAUACUGGUUGGCUAGAGUAUGGGAGAGGAUGGUAGAAUUCCAGGUGUAGCGGUGAAAUGCGUAGAGAUCUGGAGGAAUACCGAUGGCGAAGGCAGCCAUCUGGCCUAAUACUGACGCUGAGGUACGAAAGCAUGGGGAGCAAACAGGAUUAGAUACCCGGGUAGUCC
RNAcentral lists this ribosomal RNA (451 nucleotides) under uncultured bacterium. Its description in RNAcentral is "partial 16S ribosomal RNA". It matches the Rfam family "Bacterial small subunit ribosomal RNA", at positions 354 to 796 of the family's 1533-position model. The record is from RNAcentral.